Long non-coding RNA from Mastomys coucha (southern multimammate mouse), 1234 nucleotides. RefSeq lists it as uncharacterized. Lineage: Eukaryota; Metazoa; Chordata; Mammalia; Rodentia; Muridae. The record is from RefSeq and is a predicted model, not a curated record. The transcript is spliced from 5 exons.
GCUCUAACGCAAACACUCCGGCACCCCGGCACCCCGGUGGCCUCUGCUGCUUCGUCUUUCUAGUCAUGGUGCCCUUUUGAGCAAGGGUCACUCUUACUCCUAAGAGGAAAGUCGAUCUGACUCACUUUCAGAAACUGAAAGCGUACUGUGUCCACAAGAGCUGGGACGCUUACUGUAAAACCACAAAAACCACAUCAGAAUUCUACAGCUGCUCAGGAAGGAAAGGAGUCAGUGGGCCGAAAAAACUCAUCCAGAUUUCUCCACACUUCGCUCUCCUCCGGAGGACUCACCGGCUUCUUCGCUAAGAGAUUGGGAACCAAGAACAGAUUUUGGCAGCCAGCGUAGGCUCGGCCUUCGGCUUCUGUUACAAUGACCCUCCCAAGGGCUCCUCUGCAAAGCAGCAUGGCUUUGGUAGUUACAACAGAGGGAUGACAGAUGAUAGAGGAGAACCCAACCCUUCCUAUGCACCUCUAGAGACUGCAGAGGGAAUCAGAAGCGGUCUAGAUCUCUAGAAGAACUCCAGCAAACUCACUGAGGAGGCUGAGACCAAAGGAUUGUGAGCAAGCUUAUGCUACAUCUCAAGAUUCUAUCUAGGAAGAAAAGAACAAAAGAGCACGAUGUCAAAGAAAUGUGAAGGCCAGUGCGAUGGCUCUUGGCUUCGUGGCACCAAUGAUGCGGAGGAGAGAUGAACCUCAGUAGAAACAGUCCCUGAAGAGCUUUGUUCGUCUGACUCUCCCGUGCUGCCUGAAGCAGUGAACCAGGGAAAGAAGGAAAGAAUGCUCCCAUUGACUACUAGAGCCUGAGUGCUGGGCCCCUGUGCAGUGCCACACUUCCAGGGGCUGGGGACCAAACCAGGAAGAUAUCAGAUCCCUUGGCACUGGAGUUCCAAGCAUUCGUGAACCUUUGUCACAGAGCUGGGGACCAAACCAGGACACUUGCAAGAGCCACCAGCACUCUGAAGCAUGGAGCCAUCUCUCCAAACUUCAUCCACCACUUUUUAAACCAUGAAAAUGCCUAUGUUUACAAAGCUGGAGUAAGUGUGAAGUGUGACACAAAGCUUAGGGCCUCCAACUUGCUGUUCAAACUGUACAGGAAGUUCACUGAGACGUACAGACCUGGGGCUGGGAAGAGCUUGUUUGAGCCGCUAUGUUAAUCUAACUUUCUGAUUUUUGCUUUUGGUUGGAAUGUUCUUCAAAAUAGGCUGACUUAUUAAAAAACAAUUUUGUAAACUUUA